UGCAAGUCGAACGGCCUCUUCGGAGAUAGUGGCGGACGGGUGAGUAACGCGUGAGAAUCUGGCUCUAGGUCUGGGACAACAGAUGGAAACGUCUGCUAAUACCGGAUGUGCCGAGAGGUGAAAGGCUAGCUGCCUAGAGAUGAGCUCGCGUCAGAUUAGCUAGUAGGUGGGGUAAAAGCCUACCUAGGCGACGAUCUGUAGCUGGUCUGAGAGGACGAUCAGCCACACUGGGACUGAGACACGGCCCAGACUCCUACGGGAGGCAGCAGUGGGGAGUUUUCCGCAAUGGGCGAAAGCCUGACGGAGCAAUACCGCGUGAGGGAGGAAGGCUCUUGGGUUGUAAACCUCUUUUCUCAAGGAAUAAAAAAUGAAGGUACUUGAGGAAUAAGCAUCGGCUAACUCCGUGCCAGCAGCCGCGGUAAUACGGAGGAUGCAAGCGUUAUCCGGAAUGAUUGGGCGUAAAGCGUCCGUAGGUGGUUUUGUGUGUCUGCUGUUAAAGCGUGCGGCUUAACCGCAUAAGGGCGGUGGAAACUACAAGACUAGAGUACGUUCGGGGCAGGGGGAAUUCCCAGUGUAGCGGUGAAAUGCGUAGAGAUUGGGAAGAACACCGGUGGCGAAAGCGCCCUGCUAGGCCGUAACUGACACUGAGGGACGAAAGCUAGGGGAGCGAAUGGGAUUAGAUACCCCAGUAGUCCUAGCCGUAAACGAUGGAUACUAGGUGUUGUCUGUAUCGACCCGGACAGUGCCGUAGCUAACGCGUUAAGUAUCCCGCCUGGGGAGUACGCAGGCAACUGUGAAACUCAAAGGAAUUGACGGGGGCCCGCACAAGCGGUGGAGCAUGUGGUUUAAUUCGAUGCAACGCGAAGAACCUUACCUGCCCUUGACAUCCUCGGAACGACUCA
This 902-nucleotide ribosomal RNA is filed under the name uncultured cyanobacterium. RNAcentral's name for it is "bacterial SSU rRNA". It matches the Rfam family "Bacterial small subunit ribosomal RNA", at positions 56 to 1002 of the family's 1533-position model. The record is from RNAcentral. Lineage: Bacteria; Bacillati; Cyanobacteriota.